RNAcentral lists this long non-coding RNA (758 nucleotides) under Mytilus galloprovincialis (Mediterranean mussel). Lineage: Eukaryota; Metazoa; Mollusca; Bivalvia; Mytilida; Mytilidae. The record is from RNAcentral.
GUCUGGAGAGAGGUGGAGCUUUGUCUAUAUUUAAUUGCUACAUCACAGAUGUUGGUCAAAUCUGUGACGUCAAACUCCCGCCAAAUGCUAAGUUAGUGUUGGUCAGUGCACAUAUAAUUCAACAUUUACAGUAUUAGAGCAUCAAAGACCCAAAGUGUGUGGUUAUAUUGAUAAAAUAAUGGUGUCAGGACACUCCUGGGGUGUUCUCAGUGGAACUUUUGUAUGAAUGAUGCAUUUAUAGGGGUUCUAAGGGGGAAAUUCAGUUUUUAGGUAAUUUCUCUGAACAAUUUUUCAUGAGAAUUGUUAGCAAAAAAUGAAAAUAGAAACUUCAUUGGUACCCCUUUUGGUUUGACUUUGAUAUAUGUGAUUAAAGGGAGUAUUUUCUACAAUACCGUGUCCCAGUUUUUGGAUAAUUUGUUUCUAAAUGAAUUUAUAGUUGUCCAAAGAUGAAAGGGGAAAUGAGGUUUGGUACCCAGCAGUUAAAUCAAUAUAUCUUCUUACUGGAGGCAUAUAUAAAAAAUCUGAGACACGGUUUUGUUUAUAGUGUAUGGUUGAUUAAAGCGAUGAAAACAAAUUUUCACUACCAUUUGACCUGAAUGUGUCAUUUUCAUCCGAGUUGGAAGACCACGUUUUUGGCAAUUAAGGAGCUAUAAUUUGAGAUUAAUCAUACCAAAAAUUUAUUUAUUUACAGAUUAAGAAGAAUUAAUACUUCACCUGUAUAAUGAGCUAAAGAUUUUAAAAAUCCAUUGAGUAGUUUU